This 346-nucleotide long non-coding RNA is filed under the name Triticum aestivum (bread wheat). Its description in RNAcentral is "long non-coding RNA (TAES_LNC011830)". Lineage: Eukaryota; Viridiplantae; Streptophyta; Magnoliopsida; Poales; Poaceae. The record is from RNAcentral.
GACCAUGGUUCUUGUUGCAUCUUACUCACUUAGGUCAGCACAUUUCCUGAUUGACUUCUGGAUCAAUCUGAAACUUGGAUGUUUAGUUUCUUGCUUUUUCUCAUUACAGUCGUUUUCCUGUCAGAUGAGAUCUCACAUUAGUUCCGAGUUCCAUCCGAGAGACAUAGGACGAUUUUUAAAUUAUGAUGUUUUGGACCGUCUGAUGUCAAGGUUUUAGUUGCCCCAACUCUAUUUGGCAUACAUCAACCUUCCAACCGAGAUGUUAUUGUAUUAUUAUUUGAGGGUGUUGAAUUCAGUGGCCAUAUUCUUAUUGUUUCCUUCAAAUAUUGUAUUUGCCAAGAACCUG